RNAcentral lists this ribosomal RNA (2065 nucleotides) under human gut metagenome. RNAcentral's name for it is "bacterial LSU rRNA". It matches the Rfam family "Bacterial large subunit ribosomal RNA", at positions 831 to 2925 of the family's 2925-position model. The record is from RNAcentral.
AAUCGAACUCGGAGAUAGCUGGUUCUCCCCGAAAUAGCUUUAGGGCUAGCCUCGAUUUAGAUUACCGGGGGUAGAGCACUGAAUGGGCUAGGGGGCCACAAAGCUUACCGAACCCUAUCAAACUUCGAAUACCGGAUAAUUGAUGAUCGGGAGUCAGACAGUGUGAGAUAAGUUUCAUUGUCGAAAGGGAAACAGCCCAGAUCUACGACUAAGGUCCCAAAGUUCAAGUUAAGUGGAAAAGGAUGUGCAAUUGCGUAGACAACCAGGAUGUUGGCUUAGUAGCAGCCAUUCAUUCAAAGAGUGCGUAAUAGCUCACUGGUCGAGUGAUUGUGCGCCGAAAAUGUAACGGGGCUAAACUUGACACCGAAGUCUGGGCAGAAGGAAACUUCUGGGUAGGGGAGCAACGUGUACGGGCAGAAGCAGAAGCGGAAGCGACUGUGGACUGUACAGGAGAGAGAAUGCCGGCAUGAGUAGCGAGAGCAAAGUGAGAAUCUUUGCCGUCGAAAGCCUAAGGUUUCCUGAGGAAGGCUCGUCCUCUCAGGGUAAGUCGGGACCUAAGCCGAGGACAACAGUCGUAGGCGAUGGACAAUCGGUUAAUAUUCCGAUACCGCCGAGCAACCGGAUGCAGUGACACAGAAGGAUAGGCAGAGCGUGGCGAUGGUAGACCACGUCCAAGCAGUGAGGCUGUUGUGUAGUGAAGUACGCACAACGUAAGGCUGGGCUGUGAUGGGGAACGAUUACGAUCGGUAAGCUGCUGAAUUCACGCUGGCGAGAAAAGCUGCUACGAAGCGAAGGCGCCCGUACCGCAAACCGACACAGGUAGGCGAGGAGAGAAUCCUAAGACGAGCGGGAGAACCCUUGUUAAGGAACUCGGCAAAAUGACUCCGUAACUUAGGGAGAAGGAGUGCCCAGGAAUGGGCCGCAGAGAAUAGACCCAAGCGACUGUUUACCAAAAACACAGGUCUGUGCGAAGUAGAGAUACGACGUAUACGGGCUGACACCUGCCCAGUGCCGGAAGGUUAAGGGGAAAUGUUAGGGCAACCGAAGCAUGGAACUUAAGCCCCGGUGAACGGCGGCCGUAACUAUAACGGUCCUAAGGUAGCGAAAUUCCUUGUCGGGUAAGUUCCGACCCGCACGAAUGGUGUAACGAUUUGGGUACUGUCUCAACAAGGGACCCGGCGAAAUUGUAGUAUGUGUGAAGAUGCACAUUACCCGCGAUAGGACGGAAAGACCCCGUAGAGCUUUACUGUAGUUUAACAUUGGAUUCCGGUAACAUAUGCACAGGAUAGGUGGGAGGCGGAGAAGCAGUGAUUUCGGUUGCUGCAGAGCCGACGUUGGGAUACCACUCUUGUGUUACUGGGGUUCUAACCUGUGGCCGUGAUCCGGCACAGGAACAGUGUUAGAUGGGCAGUUUGACUGGGGCGGUCGCCUCCAAAAGAGUAACGGAGGCGUCCAAAGGUUCCCUCAGAAUGGUUGGAAACCAUUCGAAGAGUACAAAGGCAGAAGGGAGCCUGACUGCGAGACCGACAGGUCGAGCAGGGACGAAAGUCGGGCUUAGUGAUCCGGCGGUAUAGAGUGGAAUUGCCGUCGCUCAACGGAUAAAAGCUACCUCGGGGAUAACAGGCUUAUCUCCCCCAAGAGUCCACAUCGACGGGGAGGUUUGGCACCUCGAUGUCGGCUCGUCGCAUCCUGGGGCUGGAUUAGGUCCCAAGGGUUUGGCUGUUCGCCAAUUAAAGCGGCACGCGAGCUGGGUUCAGAACGUCGUGAGACAGUUCGGUCCCUAUCCAUCGUGGGCGCAGGAGAUUUGAGAAGAGCUGUCCUCAGUACGAGAGGACCGGGAUGGACGCACCAAGGGUGUAUCAGUUGUCACGCCAGUGGCACAGCUGGGUAGCCAAGUGCGGAUCGGAUAAACGCUGAAGGCAUCUAAGCGUGAAGCCGACUUCAAGAUAAGAUCUCCCAUCCGCAAGGAGUAAGGCCCCAUGUAGACCACAUGGUUGAUAGGUCGCAGGUGGAAGUGCAGUAAUGUACGCAGCUGAGCGAUACUAAUAGGCCGAGGGCUUGAUCA